This 6320-nucleotide long non-coding RNA is filed under the name Apis mellifera (honey bee). RNAcentral describes it as "uncharacterized LOC102655311, transcript variant X2". The record is from RNAcentral. Lineage: Eukaryota; Metazoa; Arthropoda; Insecta; Hymenoptera; Apidae.
AAAAAAAAAAGUCAUAAGGAAAGAAAGUCUCUUUGCUAAAGCAUCGAACCUUUUUCACCACCAAUUUUCUCUAUCUUCGCUCAGGGAAGAGCGAUAUGAGCUCGCCCUAGUUUCUAGAGUUAUCGUGUAUAAACCGGUGCCGGUGAAGAUGUUUGAUCCCUGAAAGUCCACGAGAAAACGUGGAGAGCAAAAGGAACGAUAAAAUAGAAACGAACGAGGCGUUCAGUGGAAUCGUCGGUUAGAUAAUGGAUUUACGAUAUUUAUUGUUAGAAAAUCAAUCUAUUUGGACAAAUCUUUAAUUAAAAACGAACCUGAAUAAAGAACGAACGGAAUACUGAGAGGUUAUCGUCUUGAAAUAUCUUUGCAAAUAAAUAUCUAUAUUUUUCGCAAUAAUAUAUAUCCGCUUUUCUCAUUUUCUCGAGCAAUGAUUAUUUUAUUUUGCACGUGUACUUUGCCACAUAAGAUCCCUUCACGAAGGAACAUCCAUUUCUUCAGAAUGUACGCACACGCCCUUUGCAAAUAGGCAGUAAACUUCUUUGGAUAUAUGCAUCCCACCCUCCUUGAGUAAAGGCCACUUUUAUAGGCUAUAUACACGGACCUUUUGCGAAUAAAUGUUCCCUUAUCAAGUGCGUACGCUCCAUUAUACAUAAAUACAUAAAUAUAUACAUUUUUUGAAAUGCAUAAUCCCGUAAAUUUGAGAACUCGAGAUUCUAAUAUUAUUAAAAUAUGAUAUAAUACAUAAAAUUUUGCCAAUCUUUAAAUAAUUUUCAUCAAACAUCAAAUAGUAACGAUUAAUCGAAGCGACACAAUCCAAAACCAUAUCUGUCUCUAAAUAAGAGAUUCUUUUUUGAUUAGCUCACUCUCAUUAAAAUAUCUGCCUAUAACACUAUUAUCACAUAUAUAUAUGUAUCUACGUUUUUCCAAGAUUCAUCCCAAAACAGCAAAUUUCAACGAAACGACAUUCGCCUUAUUUUUCGAUGUAGCCAUUUCUCCUUUUCUCGAACGAAUUCGAGCGGCCAGAAACUUCUGUCCCUUUUCAACAAAGAAUUCGAUCUAACUCAAAGUCUCAAGCAAGCGUGGCAACUUGCGAGAGCGUCAGAAUUGAAGCGAAAAUUCCGAAUUCCCUAGAUAUUCGUCGAAUACGUGGCGGCAGACUUGCGAACUAUCGCGAUGAAACCUCUCUCUCUCUCUCUCUCUCUCUCUCACUCUCACCACACACACAGCCAGCUAUUCGCCGCUCAAAAAUUUCGAUCGCGAUUCUCAUGCAGAAGCGCGCUUCGGCAGUGAAAAACUGGAUCGCAUGCAAAAUUGAUCAGCCGCGAGUAGUGAAGAGUUUGGAACGCUUGGCCGAAACUCGACACGAGGGCCAACGGUCAACGUCGCCUCGUUUGCGCUUCCUUGUCCACCGGCAUCUCACUUUUCGCCCCGUCGUCUCUGUUUUCUAUUCCGAGGGCCGAUAUCGAUCCAACCGCGUGACGCUGGCUGCUGCCCGCUCAUUACUUUACUUUACUACGCUUGUACAUGUCGUUUUCUUGCACACGGCAGGCAAAAUAUUAUACUUAUACGCUUCUCGCUCGAAUAUGUUACGAGAUUUCCGAUCGAAAAAUUAUGCGUCACGCUUUCAGGAUGGAAUUACCAUUUUUUAUCAUCGAGAUAUCGUGAAUAUCGGAUAAGGAUUGGAUAAAGUCGAGCAUAAAUUCUAGCAUUGGCAAGUUCGCAUAAAGAUCGUAUCCUUAAUUUCGUCUCUGCCCACUAAUUUCCCCCUAGCGGCGCACAGUACAAUCUCGCAUAAGAAUUACGUACAAAAUGUGUCGCACGGUGGCGCGCGGUUCGCGCAAAAACGAGAAAGAGUACGUGCGUUACAUGCAUGCAGCGGAAUAUUUUAUUCGCUUACUUAAUACGCCACGUAUUUGCGACUCACGCUGCUUAAUAUUCGUGGUACGAGGGGGUGGAAGGAAAGUGAGUCCGGUUUACGUAAGUGCACGCUGGCAAUCGCAUUUUCCGAGGCGGGUAGAACGAAGAUAUAGAGAUACGGAGCAUUCAAUUUCAGACUGCGGACAGAAAGAGUGAGAGGCAAGAGUAGUCGGAUAGAGAGAGGUUAAGGAAAAGAAGAGCGUAAUAGGAAAUCGGACCGAGAGAUAGCGCCACAUACCGGAACGAAAGAAGAGAGAUUUAGUGGAAGAGAACGAAAUGCGGAGUCUCGUCAUUAACAGUUAACGGCCGUCGACUGUCGCGCGCGUUUAUUUACAUUGGGACACGGAAUAUGCUGUGGUGCACUCUGACUGAGAGAGCGGCGAGAUGCAUAAGGGGAUGUUUGUUGAAGCGAGUGGAACUGGAGAGGAUGUGAAUAAGAUAGAAAAAAAAGAAAGAAAGAAUAUCUUGAAUUUGAAUUAAAUGAAAUAUUUAUGAUCGCGAAAAAAAUUCUUAGAUAUUAAUAACAACAACAAUGAUAAUAAUAAAAGAAUGCUAACGGGAGAAUGAAUAUCAAAACAGUUUGAAUUAGAAACAAUUUCUUUGAAUAUCAGAAAUUCUAUUUUUUUUUUUUUUAAGAUGAAAGAUGUGUUCAAAGAAACGCGGAAGUAAAGAUACGUCGAAUAAGCAUGAACUUCAAUGAAUGCUUACAUUGUCAUUUACGCUGGGUAUGGCAUAGUAGUUUACAUUGAUUGCAUACUGCAGCUGCUAAGCGAUGAACUUACUACACUCUCUCUUCCCCAAUCGUCUAUUUUCUAAUAUCGGUUUCGACUCUCGUUAUAACCUAUACCACCAUCGAAUUGUUUUCUUUUGCCACUCUUUGUUUUAUACACGCAGUCAGUCAUAUUUGUUUCUCCGUCUUCACCUAUUUAUAAACUCGCCGAUACGUAUACGCUAUUCCCGCACUCAGUUGAAUGCGUUUAUUUAUUCAGCUGUUUGCACUUGCGAGCGAGCGAGUGAGAAUCAUGAACGGCUCGCGCACGUGUUAAUGGCGGUGGAAGCGUGUUCACGAAUCACGUGAUGUCAACUCCGCCACGGCAUAAUUUGCGUAUUAUUUAUGGCGUUGGUGUUGCGACUUUUCUCGAAAAAGAAUUUUCCAGGAACAUGAGAAUAGCUUAAGGACAUGAUUGUAUGAGUUUGUGAUACUUUUUUUCUUUCCAAACAAAGAAACGUAACUUCAACUUGUACGAAAAUUUAAUUGUGAAAAAUGAAAAGUGAAAAAAAGUAAGUAUAAAAAUAAACGAUUAGAGAAAACAAUAAUACGUGACUGGGUAACGAGUAAUUGAUAUCAUAUAUACAGUACUAAUAGUUUCACAAGUAUCUAAGUUUCGAGAUCAUCAAUUCACGGUCCAUCACAAACAGAAGUGUUAGUAAGACAAUUUGCAUUUCUGUUUAGAUUCAAUUUAUGUUACUAGUACUACAACUUAGUACCAUCUUAAUUUCUUGUAUAUAUUCGCCCAAUUCGCUACGAUAAAUGGAUCGCUAUGAUAUUUGCAUUAUAAAAAUUUCUAAAAAUAAAUUUAAAGUUUCUCAUUCCUUCCAUCUAAAUCUCUCAUAUUUACAUGGAGCAAUAGUAUAUCAUUUUCACUUGUUAUCAGCAAACUUUUGAAAACUUUCAACUUUCAUCUCCUGCCUCUUUCAUUCCAAUAGACAACGGACAAACUCGCUCAUAAAUUCUCCAAACGAGACCGUAUCCAACUGUAAAAAGAACAAGUCUCCGUAAAAAGCGGACCAACUCUUACUUCACCGAGUAUCUAUAUCGAACUGGCUCUGAAAUCGCGCUCAAGAAAACAGUCCAGAUGGCGCCACCGGUCGGCAAAGAACCCCGAUAAUCAGAGAUCAAAUGUCGGAAUCGGUAGUUCAUCGAACGGUCGCAGUGUUCUUGCUGAUUAUCGAGAUGCAAUCCCGGGACGGGAGAAUUGGGAGCAGACGGAAAAACGAACGGAAAGAAUAAAGGAACAGGCUGGAAAUGAGAAGAAGCGAAGAGAAGAGAGAGGCUGCCAAUGGCCAACGAACUCGAGAGGCGAGAAGAGGAAGGCGAGGCUCGAUCGGUAAAGAAGGAUCGCGACCAGUUUCUCGGAGACAAGUUGCGAGGUAUUAAGUAACUGGAAGCUUCGUGUCUUUAUCUCGAAGAGUAGAAGCGUAACGCGGAAACCUCUUCCUUGUUUCCCUUUCCGCCUCCCACCACCGCCCCCUCUCCACCUCGUUCACCUCGUUCGUAGAAUCUUCUACCGUUUGCGAGCGUCGAGCACGGGCACGAGAUAGAUUUUACGCAAGAAUCUCGGGGACGAAGCGGCGCAUUACGGAUAAUAAAGGAGAUUGACUCUAAAUUACAAAGUCCGUUGCAGACGGCCGCAUUGAAUACCUCUCAGGCACAGAAGCGUCGCCAAAUCGGUUUUACGGUCGGCAGGUGGUCCGACUGCUCUUCUGCACUUACGAUUCGUCUGCUUGUCUCAACUCCUCCCCCCACUCUCUCUCCCAUCCCAGUUGCAGCUAGCUUCGUUACCCCCACCCCAGUUCAGCCUAGUUUCUUCGCUAUUAAUUGUUACCGUUUCAACGUGGCGUGGCGCGCAGCGCACGAAGCUGGGCGACGAUAGCGCCACCGGCCUUCUUCCGUCGCGUUCUAAUUACACGAUUAAAAGAAAGUUAAUCCGCGGACGACACGCGGACGCGUAAACAAACGACGGGGAGAGACAAUCGGUCUCUCGGCGUGAGCGGAAGAACGACGACGACCGGGCGACGAGUAAUUUAACGCUCGACGAGAUUUAUUAAAAUUUUCUUCGUCUUUUUUCCUUUGGCCGGAGAGGAGAAUGGUUGUUGGAGGACGGCAUGCGGGCUCUUUCUCUCUCUCUCUCUCCCCGGUAUAAACGGUUUUUUGUAGCGAGCACGCCAGCGGCCCGGUUCUUUGUGGUAACGGCCACGAAUUUCCCCUCCGGUGCUGCCACUAAUUUUCGGAGUUAUACUCUUUUGUGCGCGCGUAAUUAUAAACACGUCCGCGCGUUCCUACCAAGUUUUCUCGCCGGACAACGGAAGCUUGUCUAACGGCGAUCUGUGAAUAUUUGUUCGUUUCAACGGGGAUGAUGAAAGGGAGAAGUUGAAAUUGGAUUCACUUGUUAAUAGAAUGUUUGUACGGUAAUAAUAUAAGAAUUUAAUAUUGCCAAGUGCGUUGAGAUUGAUUAACAGAUUUUUAGCUAGUCUAUCUUUUUCAAGAAGAAAGAUUUUGGAAUUGGUUGUUAUUAAUUUGGAUAAUCCAAGGGUUGACUAAUAAAUAAUAACUCUGCACCUGUAAUUCGUGUAAUCCGAAUUUUUAAUUUCACUUCGAUUGUCCUCACGAUAAUCCUCAUAAUUUAUAAGGCAUCUUGAGCAGCGUUGGAUAGAUUAGUCUGCUUAGCACGUAGUCGAAACACGAGCGUCUAAACGUGAGAUUGUAAGGCGAGAGGUGGUGGUGGUGGUGGUUGGUGGUGGUGGUGGUGGCCCAGUUUCGGUGAAAUGAAAUUUAUUUCAUUAGAAGCGCCUGUGACCGACGUAAAACGAAUUCUUGAGCCAUUUUCGACUUAAGACCGAGUCGGUUAAAAUUUCAAGGGAAUGAAAUUUUUUAGUUUGCUUCAUUGGCCAAGUGUUAAUUUGGCGAAAGGAUCAAAAAUUUGAAUGCUUGAUUCACCAUUAAUGAAAACGAGAGUGAUGCUUUUCUCUGCAAUUUUAAAAAGUUUAAUUUUGUUCAAUUUUUUUUUCUUCUAACGUAAAAAAAAAAACGAAUGUUAAACACUUCUUACAAGUAAUCCACGAGAGAAGAAGAAAUAAGAUCAAGGGACAUUUAAUCGUUGUGCAUGCGCGGCUAUUACGACUAGCUUUUCCAGCAAUCGUCGUAAAACGCACGACCACCAUCGUAUUGCUAGAAAUUUCACCGGAGUAGAAUCGUCAGACGCAUCGAGAGAACAGAAGAGAGUGAAAAAGAAAAGGAAAAAAAAGAAAGAAAGAAAGAAGAAAAAAGGAAUGAAAAGACCAACAAAACCUAAAACGCGUGGAAACGAGGUGGAAAGGUAGGCAAAACACAAGCAUCGUGUCUUAGCCCGAUAAAGGUAGGAUACGGAGUGGUUUAACCGCGAUGGUAAAAGUGCAGCGAGAUAUCCGCUCGGUGGAGCUCCGACGCGUCGAGACGGAGCUGAGCUUACACAAAGGAUAAAGACUAGGAGGGUGGAAGGAGGAUGAAGCUCAGAAAGGGUUUGGGUAGCAUGAAAUACGCGGAGAUGAAGAAAAGAGCAUUAUUUGAAUAAAAUAUUUGAAAAUUGAUUAUUUAAGUGAUCAAGUUACUCGAUUCAACUUUAAAGUAAAUUAUAACUGUAUGAGUA